UACGAAGGGGGCUAGCGUUGUUCGGAUUUACUGGGCGUAAAGCGCACGUAGGCGGUUUGUUAAGUGAGAGGUGAAAUCCCAGAGCUCAACUCUGGAACUGCCUUUCAUACUGGCAAGCUAGAGUCCGGAAGAGGUAAGUGGAACUCCUAGUGUAGAGGUGGAAUUCGUAGAUAUUAGGAAGAACACCCGUGGCGAAGGCGGUUCUCUGGGACGGUACUGACGCUGAGACGCGAAAGCGUGGGGAGCGAACAGG
This 253-nucleotide ribosomal RNA is filed under the name uncultured bacterium. Its description in RNAcentral is "partial 16S ribosomal RNA". It matches the Rfam family "Bacterial small subunit ribosomal RNA", at positions 524 to 776 of the family's 1533-position model. The record is from RNAcentral.